UACGUAGGGUGCGAGCGUUAAUCGGAAUUACUGGGCGUAAAGCGUGCGCAGGCGGUUCGUUGUGUCCGUCGUGAAAGCCCCGGGCUUAACCUGGGAACUGCGAUGGAAACUAGCGAGCUGGAGUGUGGCAGAGGGGGGUGGAAUUCCGCGUGUAGCAGUGAAAUGCGUAGAUAUCGGAAGGAACAUCAGUGGCGAAAGCGGCUUCCUGGACCAGCACCGACGUUCAGGCACGAAAGCGUGGGGAGCAAACAGG
This 253-nucleotide ribosomal RNA is filed under the name uncultured bacterium. Its description in RNAcentral is "partial 16S ribosomal RNA". It matches the Rfam family "Bacterial small subunit ribosomal RNA", at positions 524 to 776 of the family's 1533-position model. The record is from RNAcentral.